AGCGAACGCUGGCGGCAGGCCUAACACAUGCAAGUCGAACGAACCUUUCGGGGUUAGUGGCGGACGGGUGAGUAACACGUGGGAACGUGCCUUUAGGUUCGGAAUAACUCAGGGAAACUUGUGCUAAUACCGAAUGUGCCCUUCGGGGGAAAGAUUAAUCGCCUUUAGAGCGGCCCGCGUCUGAUUAGCUAGUUGGUUGAGGUAAUGGCCCACCAAGGCGACGAUCAGUAGCUGGUCUGAGAGGAUGAUCAGCCACAUUGGGACUGAAACACGGCCCAAACUCCUACGGGAGGCAGCAGUGGGGAAUCUUGCGCAAUGGGCGAAAGCCUGACGCAGCCAUGCCGCGUGAAUGAUGAAGGUCUUAGGAUUGUAAAAUUCUUUCACCGGGGACGAUAAUGACGGUACCCGGAGAAGAAGCCCCGGCUAACUUCGUG
This 434-nucleotide ribosomal RNA is filed under the name uncultured bacterium. Its description in RNAcentral is "partial 16S ribosomal RNA". It matches the Rfam family "Bacterial small subunit ribosomal RNA", at positions 29 to 507 of the family's 1533-position model. The record is from RNAcentral.